RNAcentral lists this ribosomal RNA (503 nucleotides) under Salmonella enterica. RNAcentral describes it as "partial 23S ribosomal RNA". It matches the Rfam family "Bacterial large subunit ribosomal RNA", at positions 38 to 580 of the family's 2925-position model. Lineage: Bacteria; Pseudomonadati; Pseudomonadota; Gammaproteobacteria; Enterobacterales; Enterobacteriaceae. The record is from RNAcentral.
AGUCAGAGGCGAUGAAGGGCGUGCUAAUCUGCGAUAAGCGCCGGUAAGGUGAUAUGAACCGUUAUAACCGGCGAUACCCGAAUGGGGAAACCCAGUGUGACUCGUCACACUAUCAUUAACUGAAUCCAUAGGUUAAUGAGGCGAACCGGGGGAACUGAAACAUCUAAGUACCCCGAGGAAAAGAAAUCAACCGAGAUUCCCCCAGUAGCGGCGAGCGAACGGGGAGGAGCCCAGAGCCUGAAUCAGCAUGUGUGUUAGUGGAAGCGUCUGGAAAGGCGCGCGAUACAGGGUGACAGCCCCGUACACAAAAGCGCAUGUGUUGUGAGCUCGAUGAGUAGGGCGGGACACGUGGUAUCCUGUCUGAAUAUGGGGGGACCAUCCUCCAAGGCUAAAUACUCCUGACUGACCGAUAGUGAACCAGUACCGUGAGGGAAAGGCGAAAAGAACCCCGGCGAGGGGAGUGAAAAAGAACCUGAAACCGUGUACGUACAAGCAGUGGGAGC